RNAcentral lists this ribosomal RNA (375 nucleotides) under uncultured archaeon. RNAcentral describes it as "bacterial SSU rRNA". It matches the Rfam family "Archaeal small subunit ribosomal RNA", at positions 350 to 727 of the family's 1478-position model. The record is from RNAcentral.
UUGCAAUACACGAAAGUGUGACAGGGCUAUCCCGAGUGCCAUCCGCUGAGGAAGGCUUUUACCCAGUCUAGAACGCUGGGGGAAUAAGGAGAGGGCAAGUCUGGUGUCAGCCGCCGCGGUAAUACCAGCUCUCCGAGUGGUGUGGAUGUUUAUUGGGCCUAAAGCAUCCGUAGCUGGCUGAGUUAGUCCCUUGUUAAAUCCACCGAAUUAAUCGUUGGAUUGCGGGGGAUACUGCUCGGCUAGGGGACGAGAGAGGCAGACGGUAUUUCUGGGGUAGGGGUGAAAUCCUAUAAUCCCAGGAGGACCACCAGUGGCGAAGGCUGUCUGCUAGAACGCGCCCGACGGUGAGGGAUGAAAGCUGGGGGAGCGAACCGG